This 425-nucleotide ribosomal RNA is filed under the name uncultured bacterium. RNAcentral's name for it is "partial 16S ribosomal RNA". It matches the Rfam family "Bacterial small subunit ribosomal RNA", at positions 354 to 796 of the family's 1533-position model. The record is from RNAcentral.
GUGGGGAAUAUUGGGCAAUGGGCGAAAGCCUGACCCAGCAACGCCGCGUGAAGGAAGAAGGUCUUCGGAUCGUAAACUUCUAUCCUUGGUGAAGAUAAUGACGGUAGCCGAGAAGGAAGCCCCGGCUAACUACGUGCCAGCAGCCGCGGUAAUACGUAGGGGGCAAGCGUUGUCCGGAAUGAUUGGGCGUAAAGGGCGCGUAGGCGGCCUGGUAAGUCUGGAGUGAAAGUCCUGCUUUUAAGGUGGGAAUUGCUUUGGAUACUGUCGGGCUUGAGUGCAGGAGAGGUAAGUGGAAUUCCCGGUGUAGCGGUGAAAUGCGUAGAGAUCGGGAGGAAAACCAGUGGCGAAGGCGACUUACUGGACUGUAACUGACGCUGAGGCGCGAAAGUGUGGGGAGCAAACAGGAUUAGAAACCCGAGUAGUCC